GGGUUGUGAGGUUAAGCGACUAAGCGUACACGGUGGAUGCCCUGGCAGUCAGAGGCGAUGAAGGACGUGCUAAUCUGCGAUAAGCGUCGGUGAGGUGAUAUGAACCGUUAUAACCGGCGAUUUCCGAAUGGGGAAACCCAGUGUGUUUCGACACACUAUCAUUAACUGAAUCCAUAGGUUAAUGAGGCGAACCGGGGGAACUGAAACAUCUAAGUACCCCGAGGAAAAGAAAUCAACCGAGAUUCCCCCAGUAGCGGCGAGCGAACGGGGAGGAGCCCAGAGCCUGAAUCAGUGUGUGUGUUAGUGGAAGCGUCUGGAAAGGCGCGCGAUACAGGGUGACAGCCCCGUACACAAAAAUGCACAUAUUGUGAGCUCGAUGAGUAGGGCGGGACACGUGGUAUCCUGUCUGAAUAUGGGGGGACCAUCCUCCAAGGCUAAAUACUCCUGACUGACCGAUAGUGAACCAGUACCGUGAGGGAAAGGCGAAAAGAACCCCGGCGAGGGGAGUGAAAAAGAACCUGAAACCGUGUACGUACAAGCAGUGGGAGCCUCUUAAUGGGGUGACUGCGUACCUUUUGUAUAAUGGGUCAGCGACUUAUAUUCUGUAGCAAGGUUAACCGAAUAGGGGAGCCGAAGGGAAACCGAGUCUUAACUGGGCGUUAAGUUGCAGGGUAUAGACCCGAAACCCGGUGAUCUAGCCAUGGGCAGGUUGAAGGUUGGGUAACACUAACUGGAGGACCGAACCGACUAAUGUUGAAAAAUUAGCGGAUGACUUGUGGCUGGGGGUGAAAGGCCAAUCAAACCGGGAGAUAGCUGGUUCUCCCCGAAAGCUAUUUAGGUAGCGCCUCGUGAAUUCAUCUCCGGGGGUAGAGCACUGUUUCGGCAAGGGGGUCAUCCCGACUUACCAACCCGAUGCAAACUGCGAAUACCGGAGAAUGUUAUCACGGGAGACACACGGCGGGUGCUAACGUCCGUCGUGAAGAGGGAAACAACCCAGACCGCCAGCUAAGGUCCCAAAGUCAUGGUUAAGUGGGAAACGAUGUGGGAAGGCCCAGACAGCC
RNAcentral lists this ribosomal RNA (1061 nucleotides) under Escherichia coli O25b:H4-ST131. RNAcentral's name for it is "partial 23S ribosomal RNA". It matches the Rfam family "Bacterial large subunit ribosomal RNA", at positions 1 to 1094 of the family's 2925-position model. The record is from RNAcentral. Lineage: Bacteria; Pseudomonadati; Pseudomonadota; Gammaproteobacteria; Enterobacterales; Enterobacteriaceae.